UCCCUGGUGGUCCAGUGGCUAGAACUCUGCAUUCUCAGUGCUGGGGGCCCAAGUUCAAUCCCUGGUCAGGAAA
RNAcentral lists this transfer RNA (73 nucleotides) under Bos taurus (domestic cattle). It matches the Rfam family "tRNA". From Rfam's summary of the family: Transfer RNA (tRNA) molecules are approximately 80 nucleotides in length. Their secondary structure includes four short double-helical elements and three loops (D, anti-codon, and T loops). RNAcentral also lists the same sequence under 5 other names. The record is from Rfam by way of RNAcentral. Lineage: Eukaryota; Metazoa; Chordata; Mammalia; Artiodactyla; Bovidae.